AGUGAACGCUGGCGGUAGGCCUAACACAUGCAAGUCGAACGGCAGCACAGUAAGAGCUUGCUCUUACGGGCAGCGAGUGGCGGACGGGUGAGGAAUACAUCGGAAUCUACUUUUUCGUGGGGGAUAACGUAGGGAAACUUACGCUAAUACCGCAUACGACCUACGGGUGAAAGCAGGGGAUCUUCGGACCUUGCGCGAUUGAAUGAGCCGAUGUCGGAUUAGCUAGUUGGCGGGGUAAAGGCCCACCAAGGCGACGAUCCGUAGCUGGUCUGAGAGGAUGAUCAGCCACACUGGAACUGAGACACGGUCCAGACUCCUACGGGAGGCAGCAGUGGGGAAUAUUGGACAAAGGGCGCAAGCCUGAUCCAGCCAUACCGCGUGGGUGAAGAAGGCCUUCGGGUUGUAAAGCCCUUUUGUUGGGAAAGAAAAGCAGCAGGUUAAUACCCCGCUGUUCUGACGGUACCCAAAGAAUAAGCACCGGCUAACUUCGUG
This 492-nucleotide ribosomal RNA is filed under the name uncultured bacterium. Its description in RNAcentral is "partial 16S ribosomal RNA". It matches the Rfam family "Bacterial small subunit ribosomal RNA", at positions 29 to 507 of the family's 1533-position model. The record is from RNAcentral.